AUGAAGCUGGAAUCGCUAGUAAUCGCGAAUCAGAAUGUCGCGGUGAAUACGUUCCCGGGCCUUGUACACACCGCCCGUCACACCAUGGGAGUUGGAAGCACCCGAAGUCGGUGACCUGACCGCAAGGGAGGAGCCGCCGAAGGUGAAGCCAGCGACUGGGGUGAAGUCGUAACAAGGUAUC
This 181-nucleotide ribosomal RNA is filed under the name uncultured bacterium. RNAcentral's name for it is "partial 16S ribosomal RNA". It matches the Rfam family "Bacterial small subunit ribosomal RNA", at positions 1320 to 1500 of the family's 1533-position model. The record is from RNAcentral.